GCGGGCCCUCGCGGCCCAACCUCCCACCCUUGUCUAUAAAUAAGCGGGGGAACCUGUUGCUUUGGCGGUCCCGCCGCGGGCCACCUGGUCGCCGGGGGACGUCCGUCCCCGGGCCCGCGCCCGCCGAAGCGCUCCGUGAACCCUGAUGAAGAUGGGCUGUCUGAGUACUAUGAAAAUUGUCAAAACUUUCAACAAUGGAUCUCUUGGUUCCGGCAUCGAUGAAGAACGCAGCGAAAUGCGAUAAGUAAUGUGAAUUGCAGAAUUCCGUGAAUCAUCGAAUCUUUGAACGCACAUUGCGCCCCCUGGCAUUCCGGGGGGCAUGCCUGUCCGAGCGUCAUUUCUGCCCUCAAGCACGGCUUGUGUGUUGGGUGUGGUCCCCCCGGGGACCUGCCCGAAAGGCAGCGGCGACGUCCGUCUGGUCCUCGAGCGUAUGGGGCUCUGUCGCUCGCUCGGGACGGACCAAUAAGGGGAGGUUCCUAGGUCAACCUGCGGAGCAUAUCACCACGGUUGAUCCUCGGAUCAGGUAGGAGUUACCCGCUGAACUUAAGCAUAUCAAUAAGCGGAGGAUUC
Molecule: ribosomal RNA, 570 nt
Filed under: Talaromyces purpureogenus
Lineage: Eukaryota; Fungi; Ascomycota; Eurotiomycetes; Eurotiales; Trichocomaceae
Description: eukaryotic LSU rRNA
Rfam family: 5.8S ribosomal RNA (bases 184-337)
Source: RNAcentral